GAGUGAAAUAGAACCUGAAACCGUGUGCUUACAAGUAGUCAGAGCCCGUUAAUGGGUGAUGGCGUGCCUUUUGUAGAAUGAACCGGCGAGUUACGAUUUGAUGCAAGGUUAAGCAGUAAAUGUGGAGCCGUAGCGAAAGCGAGUCUGAAUAGGGCGUUUAGUAUUUGGUCGUAGACCCGAAACCAGGUGAUCUACCCUUGGUCAGGUUGAAGUUCAGGUAACACUGAAUGGAGGACCGAACCGACUUACGUUGAAAAGUGAGCGGAUGAACUGAGGGUAGCGGAGAAAUUCCAAUCGAACCUGGAGAUAGCUGGUUCUCUCCGAAAUAGCUUUAGGGCUAGCCUCAAGUGAUGAUUAUUGGAGGUAGAGCACUGUUUGGACGAGGGGCCCCUCUCGGGUUACCGAAUUCAGACAAACUCCGAAUGCCAAUUAAUUUAACUUGGGAGUCAGAACAUGGGUGAUAAGGUCCGUGUUCGAAAGGGAAACAGCCCAGACCACCAGCUAAGGUCCCAAAAUAUAUGUUAAGUGGAAAAGGAUGUGGCGUUGCCCAGACAACUAGGAUGUUGGCUUAGAAGCAGCCAUCAUUUAAAGAGUGCGUAAUAGCUCACUAGUCGAGUGACACUGCGCCGAAAAUGUACCGGGGCUAAACAUAUUACCGAAGCUGUGGAUUGUCCUUUGGACAAUGGUAGGAGAGCGUUCUAAGGGCGUUGAAGCAUGAUCGUAAGGACAUGUGGAGCGCUUAGAAGUGAGAAUGCCGGUGUGAGUAGCGAAAGACGGGUGAGAAUCCCGUCCACCGAUUGACUAAGGUUUCCAGAGGAAGGCUCGUCCGCUCUGGGUUAGUCGGGUCCUAAGCUGAGGCCGACAGGCGUAGGCGAUGGAUAACAGGUUGAUAUUCCUGUACCACCUAUA
This 909-nucleotide ribosomal RNA is filed under the name Staphylococcus aureus. RNAcentral describes it as "partial 23S ribosomal RNA". It matches the Rfam family "Bacterial large subunit ribosomal RNA", at positions 536 to 1452 of the family's 2925-position model. Lineage: Bacteria; Bacillati; Bacillota; Bacilli; Caryophanales; Staphylococcaceae. The record is from RNAcentral.